RNAcentral lists this ribosomal RNA (1333 nucleotides) under metagenome. RNAcentral's name for it is "bacterial LSU rRNA". It matches the Rfam family "Bacterial large subunit ribosomal RNA", at positions 1580 to 2925 of the family's 2925-position model. The record is from RNAcentral.
CGGCAGCGAAGUUGGUGACGUCAAGCUUCCAAGAAAAGCCCUACACCCGUUAAGGCAUCAUGGCCUGUACCCGAAACCGACACAGGUGGGGUGGUAGAGAAUACCGAGGGGCGCGAGGUAACUCUCUCUAAGGAACUCGGCAAAAUGGCCCCGUAACUUAGGGAGAAGGGGUGCCAGCGAGAGCUGGUCGCAGUGAAGAGGCCCAGGUGACUGUUUACCAAAAACACAGGUCUCCGCUAAGUCGCAAGACGAUGUAUGGGGGCUGACGCCUGCCCAGUGCCGGAAGGUUAAGGAAGCUGGUCAGCGCAAGCGAAGCUAGCGACUGAAGCCCCGGUGAACGGCGGCCGUAACUAUAACGGUCCUAAGGUAGCGAAAUUCCUUGUCGGGUAAGUUCCGUCCCGCACGAAAGGCGUAACGAUCUGGGCGCUGUCUCGGAGAGAGGCUCGGCGAAAUAGAAUUGUCUGUGAAGAUGCGGACUACGUGCACCCGGACAGAAAGACCCUAUGAAGCUUUACUGUAGCUUGGUAUUGUGCUCGGGCUCGGAAUGCGCAGGAUAGGUGGGAGGCUUGGAUCCAUUGCUUGCGGGUGAUGGUGAGCCACUGGUGAGAUACCACUCUUUCCGAGCUAGAGUUCUAACCCUCGCCCGUUAUCCGGGGAGGGGACAGUAUCAGGUGGGCAGUUUGACUGGGGCGGUCGCCUCCUAAAAGGUAACGGAGGCGUGCAAAGGUUCCCUCAGGCUGGUUGGAAAUCAGCCGACGAGUGCAAAGGCAGAAGGGAGCUUGACUGUGAGACCUACAAGUCGAACAGGGACGAAAGUCGGCCUUAGUGAUCCGACGGUUCUGCGUGGAAGGGCCGUCGCUCAACGGAUAAAAGUUACUCUAGGAUAACAGGCUGAUCUCCCCCAAGAGUUCACAUCGACGGGGAGGUUUGGCACCUCGAUGUCGGCUCAUCGCAACCUGGGGCUGAAGUCGGUCCCAAGGGUUGGGCUGUUCGCCCAUUAAAGCGGUACGCGAGCUGGGUUCAGAACGUCGUGAGACAGUUCGGUCCAUAUCCGGUGCACGCGCAGGAAUAUUGAGAGGAUUUCUCCCUAGUACGAGAGGACCGGGAGGAACGCACCUCUGGUGUGCCAGUUAUCGUGCCAACGGUAAACGCUGGGUAGCCAUGUGCGGAGAGGAUAACCGCUGAAAGCAUCUAAGUGGGAAGCCCACCUCAAGAUGAGUAUUCCCAUGGCAAAAGCCAGUAAGGUCACGGGAAGGUUACCCGUUGAUAGGCUCUACGUGGAAGCGCAGCAAUGCGUGAAGCGGAGGAGUACUAAUAGACCGAGGGCUUGACC